This 314-nucleotide signal recognition particle RNA is filed under the name Methanocorpusculum sp. RNAcentral's name for it is "signal recognition particle sRNA". It matches the Rfam family "Archaeal signal recognition particle RNA". Lineage: Archaea; Methanobacteriati; Methanobacteriota; Methanomicrobia; Methanomicrobiales; Methanocorpusculaceae. The record is from RNAcentral.
AAUGGGACUAGUCCGGGUUGCUUGGCGUAACCUGUUACCUGAAACUGUCAAUACGCAGGGGACGAAGUUUGAGGACGGCUGAGUCAGUCCUUUCAAUAUUGUAUAUUUCCGACGUUGAUAUCUUGUCCUGCAAGGUCGGUGGAUAAGAUGGGUUUAUCCGGAGGGAUAAACUCGCUUACUGCUGCGGGCACCGGUUCAGGCCCGGAAGGGAGCAGACCUCACCGCAGACGCACGGCGCCUGCAGGGUUGCGGGGUGGAGAAGGAGUAUACAGGAAAGAUCGGAUAUGCGCUUCCAACCGAAAACGUGUCCCGUU